Molecule: non-coding RNA, 2126 nt
Organism: Lactuca sativa (garden lettuce)
Lineage: Eukaryota; Viridiplantae; Streptophyta; Magnoliopsida; Asterales; Asteraceae
Source: RefSeq, a predicted model, not a curated record
AAUUUAUGGGAUCGGGGUUUAAAAGGUAAAUUUUGGAUUGAUGCUGAAAAUUAUAUGGGGAGGAGGGACCAAAAGUGUAAUUUUGGCAGGGUAGUUUAGUUUGGAGUUACGGGAUAUAUCUGAUCCCUCAUUUUCUCGUCAAAGGGGGCAGCCAAAGAACCCAAACCCUAGAUCAUGAUUUCCACAGCCUUCCUGACCCUUUGAGACUCCUUCUCCGUCCCUUCUUCUUACUGUUUGCCGCCGCCGCCCUCUCGUUUUGUUUUCUCGAUCAGCAAGGCUGCUAGCGACGUUUCUACGACCGAAAUUCGAGGGCUGCCGAGAAACCAACGAAGCGUGACUGUUGCUACCUUGCUGUUGUGACUCCGACGAAUGGACGAGACCGACACAGCCGCCUCCCUCCAUCCUUCUUCCUCUUCUGUUCGCCGAUAUCUUGCCGCCAAGGGGCCGCCGCCGUGGUUCCUGCCGCGCCAUUGAAGACCCAGCCGAGUCCAGCUCCGCCAUAGCCGGAUGAUGGCGCUGCUCUCUUUCUCUCUCUCUCUCUCUCUCUCUCUCUCUCUUCUCUCUCUCUCUCUCUCUCUCUCUCUCUCUCUCUCUCUCUCCUUCCUCCUUCGUUCUACCGCCGUUGUUGUUGCCCAUUUCUUGUGCUGCUGCUGUUGCAACCCACCUCAGUGGGUGCUGGGUUCAUUUUUCGGGCAUAUGGAUGUAUAUUCAUGUACUGUGAUGGGACAAGGCUGCCGAAGUGUCCCUUGGCCGAAGAUCCGAAGAACAAAACCCCACCGCCACCACCGUAGGGUGGUGGCUGCCACCGUAGGGUGAUGGCUGCCACCGUGUAUAGCCGCCUGCCGCCACAAGGUGGCUAUGUGUGUGUGUGUUAUUUUAUGAGUGUGUGGGUUAUUAGAUGUUAUUGUAAAAUUGUACUGUAAUAGAAUAGGAAUAAUGAAAAGAAAAGCUCAAACCACCACCGUAGGGUGGUGGCUGUUGCCUCCUGCCGCCAUCGGCCGGCGUGUCAGGUGGCGGUGUGCCUUGUUUGGUUUGUGACUCGUUUGUAUGUUUGGACAAGGGACUACUAAACCCUAAUGGGCCAAAAAGAAAACCCUAGUGGGCCCAAUGAGAGCUUAAUGGGCCCAAUAAAGCCAUAAUGGACCUAAAAGCCCAACAAAUUGAUAAAUAGGCUAGUAAUUGGGUUGGAAACCCUAAUUAGGGUUUGGAAAACCCUAAUGCCAAUAAAACCCUAAUUUUGAGAAUUAAUCGAGACACACACACGAGAAUUAUUUAAUAGUUUGAAAUAUUAAAUAAUAAUCAUUGGAAAAGAUUAAUCUAAGCAAUAUUGGAUUUAGUGGAUUAAGUCCUUAAUGGAUUAAGCCUUAAUGGGUUAAGUAAGAAACACUUAACCCUAAUCGUCAUUUCAUGUGGAAACCCUAAUUCCACUUGGGCCUUGAGUUGGGCCUUCUUUUUUUGGGCUUUGGUGAUUGGACUAUUAAUGGGCUUUUCAAGAAUAAGUAAAUGGACUAAAUAAUUGUAUGGGUUUUAGGAUAAGGCCCAUGUGAGAGUCUUGGGCCCAAUUUGGAAAUUUGGACCAUAGAUGGGCCAUAACUGGGCCUUUAUGAUUAUGUGAUAUUAGGCCAUAUGUUGGGCUUUGGCCCAUUGGUUGACUAUUGGGCCUUUGGAGUGUGAGUUGGACCUUGGGCUUGGAACCCAAUUAUUAAUUUGGUGUUGUUUAAUGUUGAUACCUUGGGAAUCUGUCAACCAGCAACUGGAGUCUUGUCUGCGGGACUUCAGCAGUGCGCCAGGUGCAUCAGGGGAUCGUGACAAGGCAAAUGCGUGAUCGUACAACUACUCACUUUUUAUGACUUUAUUUCUAGGAUACUCUGAUAUUAAACUGUUUUGAAAACAUUUUUUGUAAUGACUAAUGGGUUUUGAAUUGUUUUAAAAGUUUUAAAUUGGCUUGAAAUUUUUGGGUGUUACAGUAAAUCUGGAUUUAUUCCUAAAUUAUAACUGUUUACAAGUUCGUCUCCGCCGUGUCUGACCAACCUCUAGGAAGGUACCCUCGGCCGCCUAUGACGGAGGACUUUUUUCAUCUUCUCUUAAGAAUUUCUCUGAUAAGAACAGGCUAAACAAAAAGAAAA